Non-coding RNA from Equus caballus (horse), 2240 nucleotides. The record is from RefSeq and is a predicted model, not a curated record. NCBI's taxonomy places the organism in Eukaryota, Metazoa, Chordata, Mammalia, Perissodactyla, Equidae.
UGUGUGUGUAGCAUGAAAGAGACUUUCUUCCCACAUUUUAGGGGCAGCAUAGUUCAGGUAGGAUCCAAGAGAUGUCAUGAAUCCAGCAGAGAAAGGCUCUGUCUGAGAAUUUUAUUGCCACAGAAAGCUGGUGAUAUAAGUAAAGCUUAGGAUUAUUAAACUAGUAGGUCUUUGGCAAAUGCUAUCAGUGUUUGGAGAAAUAUGCCUAAAGGAUGUACGUCCUUUGAAUGAAUGAAUGAGUGAAUGAAUCUGGGCACCAUUUUUUCCCCCUCCAAGUUACCGUUUUAUAACUUGGUUUUGUUUAUUCUGAUGUUGAGCUUUUUGAAAUUGAUCACAAAUUAAUUUUCACGGUAUGUUUGAUCCCUGACGUUUCUAAAGCAGUUCUUGAAAAACCUAGGAUAUUGCUCCGGGAUAUUGUGAGGAAAUCUUUUUGAUAAGAAUGAGGCCCAUUCUCUACAUCCGAUCUUACUCUUUCCAAUUUUUCUUAAUAUUACUACUCUCGAGAAGUUAAAGGAUUAAAAACAAGUCUGGUGGUGAUAAAUCGGUAGUUCUUGCCUAGCUUAUAAUUAAGGGUAAUUCACAUGUAGAGGAAGGUUUGACAGCUCACAUGUUUAGAAACUUGCAUCAAAAUGAAACCAAUGAAUCAUUUGAAGCCAAAGUACAGCCAGCCCCACCCCCCUCCCCCAGCAGGUGGACGACUGCAUGGGGCUCCUCCACUCACCAAAAGCAAGAGGAAGGAGGAGCAAGGGCAACCCUCCAGCUGCCCUACCAUGCAUCAGAAAGCCAGAAAUGGGCAGCACGCUGUUUCCAGGUCCCAAGCGCACCCAGGCCUGCUUCCCAGAGCCACACUGCACACUGCACACCUCUCCCACCUGCCUAACUGGGUCGUUUAACCAGACAGGAGGCAUCCCUGGCCUGGGCAGCCCUACUCUCCCGGCUCCCAGGGGUCCCGUUCCUGGCAGCCUGGCAGAGCAGCCUCGAGUGCUGGAGAAAGCCACUUUGGCAUAUUAAUCACAGCAAAUGAAUGUGCCCUGCCGGCUCUCGCAUGGGGCACCUCGCUAAUACUGGGCUUGCACUACAGCUUUCGGAUUCAACCAGUGUUUUGAUUUCCUGACCCAACUUCCCUCCACAUGAAAAACAGCCAACAGACCAGCCACACCAGGUACCACCGCAAAACAUGCAGAAGCGGCAGGCAGCGAGAAAGAGCUGGAGCCAGCACCACAGGGCAGGAGCAAGCCGGAGGAGGUGCGACAGCAGCCAAUUGUGAGCCGGGAGAAAGUUGCAGCCACCGGGGCUGCGAUUCCUCUCUCGCUGCCGUGGCCGCCGCGCCAGCCCGGCAUCUCUGCUUCGCUUGCUUUCUUCCCUUUUUUCCACCCGCUCUUCUUCUUUCUUUUUUUUACACUUGGCUACGGAACAUUAGAUUUGACGAAGGGAAAGCGAUUUAACAUCUUUUAACUGAAGGAGGUUGAUUUUCAUUUGAGACCAAAUGGCUCAUUUUUACCUUUUUAGCUCCUGGAAGAGUAAAAAGUGAGAGGUCAGCCCUGCGUCACCAUGGCAACCCACACAGCUCGGGCCAGGAGCAGAUGAACGGAGCUCUUUACGCCGUGUGAUCACCAGGAAAUGAGGAAAGACCCAUGGGUACCAGGCCCUGGGUUAGGUGCUGUACCGUCUUAUUGCCUCUGAUCCUCGCAGUGGUCUCAUGAGCCACAGAAUCGAAUACGACAUUGCAUCCCUCCCGUUAGCUCAUUAGCAAUGAAGGAUCUGAUCUUUACAAGAAAAAUUGGGAAAUUUCACCACAGAUGGGAAUGCCUUGAUUGCUUGGUGAGGCUGUGACUGCACAGUCAGCAACAGGUGCUGUUGCUUUUGUAGAACCCUGUGCUUCAAAAGACAAGCUGAGACUCCGAAAUGAAAGUUAAUGACAAAUCCAGCCAGAGUGAACAGAUGGAGUGACAAGUGACAGCCCAUCUUAUAUAUAUGAAUGUUUGUGCUUCCCCAUCUGCGUGAGAUGUGUCCAUUGACUUGCUUUGACCAAUGGGGGAAGACACGUGUGUCUUCUUUGUGUAAAAGAACUGCUUUGUUCUCCACCACUUUCUUGCCCUUGCUACAGCAAUGGGAGACUCCCAAUGAUGGAGCCUUCAUCAGCCUGAGUCUCUGAGUGAGGAUUUUGUAGAGAAGAGCCCCUCACAAAUCUAAAGAUGGACGUGUCACAUAAGUGAGAAAUAAACCAUGGAUUUAAGUCA